CAAUGAGUCAAAUUAAACUAGUGGGUUUUAUAGAGAAGUAGAACUAAUAGUUUCGUAUCCAUAUUUUAUUACUUCAGUAAAGUGUUUAAAUCUACGAUAAAUUAUUACCAGUAUUUUCGCGUUCAAGUCGAAAUAAUUCGUCAAGUUGUGACGUGACGUUUAUGAAAGUAGGAAGAACGGAAUUUUCCUCUUUAAAAAACGGAAAACAAGUGUACAAUUUCAGUAAAAUGCACAAAAUGAUACCUUUGAGAAAUGUUCAUGCUAAAUAUAUUCUAUUGGUGACGAAUAAGAAAAACAUAUUUAUUGUUUACGACUUUGCGUGCGAGGUUGCCGAUAACAAUAUUAAAUAUCAAUAUUGGAAAUGGUGCGACGACGAAUGUUUGGAAGUGUUUGAAAAAUCAAAUUGUUUUAACUGUAGUGAAAACACAAUCGGCAUCCUCGUAUUUCGUCCUAUGUAUAAAUGAAUAGAUGAAGCGGACGUGUUCCAUAUUGUUUAUAACCAGACUGAAGCGAACAUAAUGAAAUCGGCAAAUCUGAGAUCAAUUAUGGAACCGUACUUACCAAACAUCAGAUUUCUAACAAUACCACCGGAUCGCUUUAACCGUUCUGUUUUGCCAGUUGUGAAACGAAAAUUAUUGGCAGAUGAAGAAAUUUAAGGCACAACAAAAUCAUUAUCAACGACAUCUAUAUCAAAUCUUUCUGCUACUAUUUGCAGAAAUAGAGAAAAGAGAAAAUACUGUAUAUAUGAGAAUCGAAGUUCCAUGAAAACUGAUAAAGAUUCUUGCGACCAGUAACACCCGAUUUCUGUGUAAAAUAAUUGCAGAACACAAUUGCUUCGUUAUUAAAAUUAUUUUUCCAAUACGACAUGCCAAACACUGCAGUUCUGUAGAAGGUACUGCAGUUAUUGUGGAUGAUGUUAAUGUUUCUAGAAAGCACUCAUUUAUUAAUUAAAGAAAAUUUUCGUGAUGCCGAAGGAG
Centruroides sculpturatus (bark scorpion) is the source of this 977-nucleotide long non-coding RNA. RefSeq lists it as uncharacterized. The transcript is spliced from 2 exons. NCBI's taxonomy places the organism in Eukaryota, Metazoa, Arthropoda, Arachnida, Scorpiones, Buthidae. The record is from RefSeq and is a predicted model, not a curated record.